GCCACCUGAAGAACACAUGGGGGAAGUUUCCCCGGAGAGCUCUGAAAACCUUAAGGAGUGCUAUAGCCAAGACAAGUCCUUGAGCAGAGAACUGAUGACCAAGAUGAGGGAACAGGCUCGGGGAUGCCAGUCCACAAGCUCAAGCUCACACCCAGAGUGAGAGUUGGAGCUGGGUUUGUUCUGGAAUCACAACACCUUGGAAGAUGGAGUAGCAUUGGUACAAGUUGACUCGAGUCAGAUAUCCAGGGUCGGAAGCCAGUGGUGCUGGAGAGAAAUGGGGUGA
Diceros bicornis minor is the source of this 283-nucleotide long non-coding RNA. RefSeq lists it as uncharacterized. NCBI's taxonomy places the organism in Eukaryota, Metazoa, Chordata, Mammalia, Perissodactyla, Rhinocerotidae. The transcript has 3 exons. The record is from RefSeq and is a predicted model, not a curated record.